Molecule: RNA transcript, 1525 nt
Organism: Momordica charantia (bitter melon)
Lineage: Eukaryota; Viridiplantae; Streptophyta; Magnoliopsida; Cucurbitales; Cucurbitaceae
Gene name: YCF36, putative (DUF1230)
Source: RefSeq, a predicted model, not a curated record
UCUCAAGGGGGGACGAUAAACCAACUACAUCGCCGUAUUUCCAUUUCAAUAAAAUGAAAGGAAGAAAUAAGGGAUUAUUAAUAAAAUGAAAAAUAAAAAAUCUAACUUGGAUAUUGGUAAUGCCGUAGUGGGCAACCACGAACAGAGGAAAGCCGUUGGUCGGUCGUCGGAAGCUAAACAUCUAUGGCCGGAGUCAUGUACAUAGUUCCGGCAAAUGCUCCGCCGCGGGCUUUCUUUCCCUCCGCCCCCAAUUUCCGGCCAAUAAUUUCACCGUUCAUAAACCCUAGGCCCCUCCACCUCCGAAAUUCCCUUUCCAGAAUAUCCCUCUCGUUCUCCUUCCGAAAAGGAAACAACAUGCCACCGGAAACAGGCUGCCCUGUUCCGCCGGAGCAGCAGCCGAUUAACGAGUAUCAGACUCUCUCCACCUCAUUCCCCUUCUCCUGGGCGUCCGGAGACAUCGUCGAGUACUGUUCUCGAUUGGUCGCCACCGGCGCGUCCUUCGCGCUAUUCGUCGGGCUUCCGAUUACUUGGUUCGGCACUGUGGGGGUCGAAUCCGAUCCGCUGAAACGAUCUCUUUGCGCUGUUUCGAGUGGAAUUUUGUUUGUCACGAUUGCGGUUGUGAGGAUGUAUCUCGGUUGGGCCUACGUCGGAAACCGUCUCCUUAGUGCGACUGUCGAAUACGAAGAGACCGGAUGGUACGACGGCCAGAUUUGGGUAAAAACCGCUCAAGUUUUAGCGCGCGACCGCCUCCUCGGUUCCUACACUGUGAAGCCGGUGCUGAAUAGGCUAAAAUACACUCUCGUAACCCUAGCGGCGUCUCUGUUUGUAUCCAUAGUUGUGCUCAUCAACAUCGAUGGAGGCCAAUUGCUAGGGCCUUUAUUCACCGGAAAAUCUGCAGAAGUUGACGGCGGCAGAGUAAUUCCCGGCGUUUAUAGCGACGAAUCUGCCAGAUCUUUCGAGCCUGAUGCAUUCUGUGGACCUGGGGAAUGAGAUCUUCUUCAGUGACAUUCAUUCUGCUCCACGCCUUCCAAUAAAUAUAUAAAUAGAUAUAUUUCUACCCACCUCAGCAGAGUCAAAUUCGAUGAUUUAAUGAUGUAAGAAUUCUAAUCUUCUACUUCAAGGGAAAAAAAGUAGCACGAGAAGGAAACUUUUCAAGUAAAAAAUGAUCGAUGUUCCUUCGAUUUAUCGAACAUGUGAGAGAACGAAGGAACGCAUUAAGCCUAUAAAUCGAUCCACUAGUAAUCUUCAUGAUGGAAAAAACGACAUUGUUGAUUCCAGAGAAGUAAACAAAGGACCGUCGGUUGUCUGACCAAUUGACUCGGACACUAGACCGUUCGUGCCCACCCUGAUAACUACACCUGCUUGUCUUAAUGGGACUUUCAACAAAUACCAGAGCCAUGGGUUGACAGAUCAAGUAACCUAAAAUGAUCUCAAUUCACAGUCUUGUGCAAUGUCUUAUCUAGACAAUUCAAAUGUCUCAUCCAUUUGUCUUUCUCAAUCCAUAUUCUAAUGUCGAGCUGGAUUA